Molecule: ribosomal RNA, 495 nt
Filed under: uncultured microorganism
Description: bacterial SSU rRNA
Rfam family: Bacterial small subunit ribosomal RNA
Source: RNAcentral
GAGUUUGAUCGUGGCUCAGAACGAACGCUGGCGGCGUGGAUAAGACAUGCAAGUCGAACGGGAGAAUUGCUAGCUUGCUAAUAAUUCUCUAGCGGCGCACGGGUGAGUAACACGUGAGUAACCUGCCCCCGAGAGCGGGAUAGCCCUGGGAAACUGGGAUUAAUACCGCAUAGUAUCGAAAGAUUAAAGCAGCAAUGCGCUUGGGGAUGGGCUCGCGGCCUAUUAGUUAGUUGGUGAGGUAACGGCUCACCAAGGCGAUGACGGGUAGCCGGUCUGAGAGGAUGUCCGGCCACACUGGAACUGAGACACGGUCCAGACACCUACGGGUGGCAGCAGUCGAGAAUCAUUCACAAUGGGGGAAACCCUGAUGGUGCGACGCCGCGUGGGGGAAUGAAGGUCUUCGGAUUGUAAACCCCUGUCAUGUGGGAGCAAAUUAAAAAGAUAGUACCACAAGAGGAAGAGACGGCUAACUCUGUAGCCAGCAGCAGCCGCCGU